GAUGAACGCUGGCGGCGUGCCUAAUACAUGCAAGUCGAGCGAACAGACGAGGAGCUUGCUCCUCUGACGUUAGCAGCGGACGGGUGAGUAACACGUGGAUAACCUACCUAUAAGACUGGGAUAACUUCGGGAAACCGGAGCUAAUACCGGAUAAUAUGUUGAAUCGCAUGGUUCAACAGUGAAAGACGGUCUUGCUGUCACUUAUAGAUGGAUCCGCGCCGCAUUAGCUAGUUGGUAAGGUAACGGCUUACCAAGGCAACGAUGCGUAGCCGACCUGAGAGGGUGAUCGGCCACACUGGAACUGAGACACGGUCCAGACUCCUACGGGAGGCAGCAGUAGGGAAUCUUCCGCAAUGGGCGAAAGCCUGACGGAGCAACGCCGCGUGAGUGAAGAAGGUCUUCGGAUCGUAAAACUCUGUUAUUAGGGAAGAACAAAUGUGUAAGUAACUAUGCACGUCUUGACGGUACCUAAUCAGAAAGCCACGGCUAACUACGUG
This 497-nucleotide ribosomal RNA is filed under the name uncultured bacterium. RNAcentral's name for it is "partial 16S ribosomal RNA". It matches the Rfam family "Bacterial small subunit ribosomal RNA", at positions 28 to 507 of the family's 1533-position model. The record is from RNAcentral.